AUGCCUGGCCAUCCAUGCAUGAUGGUCACUACAGCACGACAGUUUGUGAUGGUGCUCAUGGUGGCUUACAGUGUGCAGACCAUGAUCUGUAGUUCUUUGCAUGGAAACGAGACAGAUCGGCUGUCGCUACUUGAAUUCAAGAAAGGGGUCAUGCUUGACCCACAACAAGCCUUGAUGUCGUGGAACGAUAGCACCCACUUCUGCCACUGGGAAGGUGUCUCGUGUGGGACGAUAACCACCCCUCCUCGUGUUAUUUCGCUCAAUCUUACAAGACGAGGUUUAGCAGGGCAAAUAUCUCCUUCUCUUGGAAACCUUACAUUCCUACAGUCUCUAUUCCUACCAAAUAAUUCAUUCUCCGGAGAGAUCCCUCCAUCCCUUGGUCAUAUGCAUAACCUCCAAACCAUCUACUUGAAUUUUAACAGAUUGCAAGGAAGGAUACCUAAUCUUUCCAACUGUACCAGCCUAAUGAUGCUUCGGCUGGUUGGGAAUAAUCUAGCUGGUAAAUUUCCUAAUUUACCUAGUCAUCUGCAAGAGCUGCGCCUCUCCGGCAAUGAUCUCAUUGGAACCAUCCCUUCUUCUCUUGCCAAUAUUACAACACUAAGAGGUAUCACUUUCACGUUUAAUCACAUUGAGAGCAAUAUCCCAAAUGACUUCGCAAAGCUGCACAAGCUGCAGAUCCUAUUAGGGGCUGUCAAUAAGUUGACGGGCACGUUCCCACAUGCCAUCUUAAAUCUUUCUGCUCUCAAUCUUCUUAGCCUUGCCUUCAAUUAUCUAGGUGGGGAGGUACCAACCUACCUCGGUAACCAUCUCCCUAACCUCCAACUUCUUCAAUUGGCUGACAACUUCUUUCAUGGGCAUAUUCCCUAUUCAUUGAUAAAUUGUUCCGAGCUGCACUACGUCGACAUGUCAAGUAAUAAUCUUACUGGUGUAGUACAUAGUACCAUCGGCAAACUUAACAAGCUGUCCUACUUGAAUCUUGAAUUCAACCACUUCCACGCUCGUAACAAGCAGGAAUGGGAGUUUAUGAGCAGCUUAACCAAUUGCACCGAGCUACAGAGUUUCUCAAUGAAAGGGAAUCACCUACAAGGAAAUGUACCAAAUUCAUUGGGAAACCUUUCUGAUCAGCUUCAGAAUCUCCUUUUGGGAACAAAUAAAUUAUCAGGAGGUUUUCCUUCUGGCAUAGCAAAUCUGCGAGGCCUAUUCAAAUUAGGGUUAGGAGAAAAUCAGUUUACAGGUGUUUUGCCAGAAUGGCUUGGAACUCUGCACAAUUUACAAGGAAUAGAGCUAGCUAACAACUCCUUUACAGGGGUUAUUCCAUCAUCCCUUGCAAACUUAUCUCAGCUGAUAGAACUCUUUCUAGAAUCUAACCAUUUAUAUGGAAAUAUACCCCCAAGUUUGGGAAACCUUAAGGUCCUUGAAAAAUUGAGCAUUUCCAACAACAAUCUUCAUGGCAGCAUACCAAAAGAGAUCUUGAGCAUUCCUACAAUAAGUCGAAUUGGGUUAUAUUCCAAUAAACUAGAUGGGGCACUUCCUAUAGAAAUAGGACAUGCCAAGCAACUGCUGUAUCUGCUAAUUUCAUCAAAUAACCUAUCUGGUGUCAUCCCUGAGACACUCGAUGGCUGCGAAAGUUUGGAAGUCAUCGAGUUUGAUCAGAAUUCUCUUAGUGGAAGAAUUCCAACUUCAUUAGGAAACAUAAGCAACUUGGAGGUGCUUACUGUGUCUCACAACCACUUAUAUGGAUCCAUACCGAAGUCCAUUGCUGCUCUGAAAUACCUUCAACAACUAGAUAUGUCAUUCAACCGUCUUGAUGGUGAAGUUCCAGAAGAAGGUGUCUUCAAGAACACAACUGCCAUACGCAUAGGCGGAAAUCAUGGGCUCUGUGGUGGAGUCCUAGAGCUACACCUACCUGCAUGCCCUGUUACAAUUUCAAGCCCGUCCAAGCACACUUGGCCACUAUGUUUCAAAGUGAUGAUUCCACUAGCUAGCAUGGUGCUACUUGCCGGUUUCGUGUCCAUGCUACUUUUCUGGAGGAAAAAACAAAGGAGAGAAUUGAUGUCUCUACCUUCUUUUGGUAGAAAAUUUCCCAAAGUUUCUUAUGAUGAUAUCGCCAAAGCAACUGAAGGGUUCUCCUUGUCCAACGUAAUCGGCAGUGGAAGGUACAGUUCGGUAUAUAAAGCCAAACUGUUUCGAGAUGGAAAUGUGGCUGCUGUGAAAGUCUUUGCUCUCGAGACAAGGGGAGCACAAAAGAGCUUCAUCACAGAAUGCAAUGCUUUGAGGAACGUGCGGCACCGCAAUCUAGUCCAUAUCCUUACUACAUGCUCUAGCAUUGAUUCUAGAGGAAUCGACUUCAAAGCACUAGUCUAUGAGUUCAUGCCACAAGGGGACUUGCAUAAAUUUCUACACUCUGCUCGGGGUGACGAAAGCUCUUCAGAUUCGAACUACAUUUCACUGGCUCAAAGGUUGAGCAUCGUGGCAGAUGUAUCAGAUGCAGUGGCGUACCUUCACCAAGAGGGUAUUGUUCAUUGUGAUCUGAAACCUAGAAACAUUCUCCUAGACGAUGAUAUGGUAGCUCAUGUUGGGGACUUCGGGCUUGCAAGGUUGCCGAUUCAUACCACAACAUCGUCUUCUGAAUCAACUUCGACGUCUUCGGUUGCAAUAAAGGGAACCAUAGGAUAUGUUGCUCCAGAAUGUGCAGGGGGCGGUCAGGUUUCAACUACUUCGGAUGUUUACAGCUUUGGAGUCAUCCUCCUUGAAGUAUUCAUCCGAAGGAGGCCAACGGAUGCCAUGUUCAAGGACGGAUUGAGCAUUGCAAAGUUUGCAGAGAUCAACUUCCCCCAUAAAGUGCUGCAGAUUCUUGACCCAGAACUGCUGCAGGAGCUGAACCUCUGCCGGGAAACUCCGAUGGAUGUUGUCGAGAAAAAUGGAGCGCAGAGUCUCAUUUCUGUGAUUAGUAUUGGGCUGUGUUGCACCAGGUCGUCCCCAAGUGAGCGCAUCAGCAUGCAGGAAGUGGCUGCCAAGCUGCAUGGGAUCAGAGAUGCAUAUCUCUUUACACAAGAUUGA
Molecule: ribosomal RNA, 3060 nt
Filed under: Triticum aestivum (bread wheat)
Lineage: Eukaryota; Viridiplantae; Streptophyta; Magnoliopsida; Poales; Poaceae
Description: partial small subunit ribosomal RNA
Source: RNAcentral